AAUAUUAAUAAGUACAGAUUCUGGCCUGAUAUUACUCCGAUAUUACUCUGGGACACUCGAAAACGCAGGAAAAAAAUUGAAAAAGAUAUUAAGUGUGAAAUCACAAUGUACUAUUAAUCUUGAUAUUACAAAACAAAGAGGAAAUAUUAAUAAGUACAGAUUCUGGCCAUGAUAUUACUCCGAUAUUACUCUGGGACAUUCGAAAACGCAGGAAAAAAUGGAAAAGAAUGUUAUUAAGUAUGAAUUCUCAAUGUAAUAUUACUCUGAUAUUACAAAACAAAGAGGAAAUAUCAUUAAGUACAGAUUCUGGCCAUGAUAUUACUCCGAUAUUACUCCGAGACAUUUGAAAACGCAGGAAAAAAAUUGAAAUGGAUAUUGUUAAGUGCGAAUUCUCAAUGUAAUAUUACUCUGAUAUUACAAAACUAAGAAAAAUAUUACCAUUAGACUAUUUAGAAAGACCAUCGUGAUAUUACUUUCGCGACAUUCCAAAGCGCAGGAAAAAAAUAGAAAAUGAUAUUGCUAAGUGCGGAUUCUCGACGAAAUAUUACUUUCCGAUAUUACCGAAAAAAAAAGAGGAAAAAAACAGGAACAAGAAACUCGCUGCUAAAACAAACAAACAAACAGACAAACAUAGCCAGAGAGAGAGAGAGAGAGAGAGAGAGAGAGAGAGAGAGAGAGAGAGAGAGAGAGAGAGCAAUACCAUAUGAGGAAACACACACAAGGAAAGAAGGAAAAUAACACUAAUAAUAAUGAUAAUAAUAAUGAUAGCAGUAAUAAAAGUCACAAUCGCGCAGAGAAAUAUAAUGUAGGGAGAGCCUCGUUAAGUACAUAAGUAAGUUAGGACAUCACUCUAGGCACGGCAUUACAAAAAUAAACAAGAUAUCGUAAAGAACGCUGCCAGCCAUGGGGUCCGACGCAGGGCCGAGACUUUAGCGGAACCAGAUUGCCGAGGCUGUCUUGGGGGUGGUUUGCAUGGGUCCUGUGUCUCCAUCUCUCUCUUCCUCCUCCCUUCCCUCUCCUUUCUUCCUCUCUUGCAAGGGUUAAGGAAGGAAAGGAGAAGGAAGGGGAGGGAAGGCCUCAACAAUUUUCUAUUCCUCCUCCACUCCUCUCCUUCCUCCCUUUCUCUCUCUCCUUCCUUCCUCUCUUGCAAGGGUUAAGGAAAGGGGAAGGAAGAGAAGGGAAGGAGGAAUGGCCCAACACCUUCCUCUUCCUCCUUUCCUUCCCUUCUCCCUCCUUCCUUUCUCUUUUCCAAGGGUUAAGGAAGGAUGGGGGAAGGAAGAGAAGGGAAGGAGGAAUACCCCAACGCCUUCCUCUUCCUUCUCCGCUCCUCUCCCUUCCUUCUCCUCCUUUCUCCUUCCUUCCUCUCUUCCAAGGGUUAAGGAAGGAAGGAAGGUGAAGGAAAGGGUAAGGAUGAGGUAGGUAUUAGGACAGUGUGGCAGAGAGGCGAAACAAAAUGUGACGCCCAGGCUUGCACCUCUAGAUGGCCUCGGCAAUCCGCUUCCACUCCAGCGCCGGCCCCCCUCGGACGACCACAGCAAUAUCAUAGUAGUCUAGGGUAUAAGGUAUAAGGUAUUAAGUAUAGGUAUCAGUAUAUAUUAACGAACGAGAGCGGGGCGAAACACACUUUUAUUUAUUUAUGUUUUUUUUUUUUUUUUAACUGAUGUUGUUGUUGUCAUUGGGCAUCAUCGCCGAUACUUCUACUACGAGGCUACUGAUAUGUACUAAAAGAACAUCACUUGUUGAGCUCGUAAACACUAUGCUUCUCAAAAUGGACGGAGAUUAGCCCGGCCGUGGGGUCAAGCGCGACCUGAGGAUUAGCAUGGGGUCGGGCCGUCGAGGUCACACGCAUUUUCUGAGGUCACACUAUAGGGGUCAGGGGUCAUGAUGGGAGGGGCGGGGGAGGGUCAGGGUGUUCUAGGCAGCGGUUGUGGUGUCAGGAGCGUGUCAGGACGUGUUGGGGUAGGCGGGUGAAAGGGUAGAGCUUUUAAAUCACAGGAUAAUCUGAGCACAGAAGUUAAGGCUGCCUUGUUUGUUUGUUCGUUUGUUUGUUUGUGUGUGUGUACGUUUGUGUGUGUAUGUGGGGGAGGACGCGUGCGUAAGUGUGUGUACGUGUGUGUGUGUGUGUGUGUGUGUGUGUGUGUGUGUGUGUGUGUGUGUAUUUACUUUAUUAUAUUUUUUGUAAGAUUUUCAUGUAACUUUUUUUUUUUUUAGAUUUUUUAUAAGUAUUUUUUAUCAUUAUUUUUGUUUUUUUCUCUAUUAUUAUUAUUAUUAUUAUUAUUAUUAUUAUUAUUAUUAUUAUUAUUUUUUAAGUCUCUGUAUAUCUCUAUUUAUUCAUUAUUUAUUUAUGUACAGCAAGUGUGUGUGUGUGUGUCUCCUCUCUCUCUCUCUCUUGGGCUGCACACGCCCCGCCGUCCAGUUGUCUGUAUCUAACAUAAUCUAAGUCCAUCACCUUCAUUUCCUGACUGACUGAAAGACACUCUCUUAAACAGUUCAGACAUCUUUUUAAUUUAACUGACUGACUGACUCUUUGAACUGUGUAUAAUCUUCCAUUACUGACUGACUGUUGAACAGUUUAUAAUCUUUAUUUGCUGAGUGACUGACUGCCACUCCACCAGUCCACGCAGUCUCUCCAUCCCCAGCAGUCCGUUCCCUGCCUGGACUGCCUCCUUCCUUCCUUCCUUCCUGCCUGUCUCUCCAUGCUUCUCCAUCCUCAGGUCGGACUUGAGGUCACCGCUGGCCGGGGGGUCAACCACAGGGGUCAGGCAGCGGCGGUGGUGGCAGUGACACUAUCCAGGGGUCAGAGGUCACUGGCACUCUUAGGUCAGUACUAGGUCACUGGCACUCUCUUAGGUCAGUGCCAGGCCAGUGGCACUUCAUAAGGUCAGUGCCAGGCCAGUGGCACUCUUACAUUAGUAACCUGACCUUAGGUCAGUGCCAGGUCAGUGCCCCUCCCUCAGGUCAGUGCCACUGCCGCCACAGCCGCCGCCUCUACACAGGGCGGCGGAGUGACCUGACCAUGCUGGGGCCGGCAAAGGUAACACACACACAUACAUACACACGUAGGUACAUGGAUAUACGUGUUCCCUUCACCUCCACACCUGGAGGCCGAGGGAAGGCGAGGCUUGGCCAGGGCUGGGUCAAGUUUGACAGCUUGACCUGCCAGCCUGGGUUCUGGGAGGCUGGUUGGUUAAUUUAACAAGAUUCUGGGCAUUCUGAGGCUUAUUUGACAACUGAUGGCUUCUAGAUGCUGUAAUAAGCUGAACUUUGAUGCGAGGCUUAAUUUGACUGCUUGAGAUCUAUCACAAUAUUAUGCUUAGGAGCUUUACUAAGGCCUAAUAACAUGAAUAUAAGCCUAUAAACAGCUGGCACGGUGAUUUAAACCUGCACCAGCUGUUUCCUUCUCGUCCUCGCCAGCUGGUUCCUUCCCCCGGGCACUCCAUCCUAGGCCCAGCAGGUGUUAUAGGCCUACCGCCGCCGCUGCCGCCUAAUAACACUGAUCAGUACACGCUACAAUGUUAUGUGACAAAAAAACAUAUACAUCUUAGUAAUAGACCACACUCACCAACUCGGAGGGCAAGGAAUACGUGCUGCGGCUGCCCGGGACCUCGAAUUUGACAGCCUGGCGCGAAGGGUCUGUUUGGGACUGUUUUACGGGGUCACAAUUCAGUGCUUCCUAUUUUCAGUCCUUUUCAGUCUUUUUCAACUAGUAUAUGUAAAUUUUCAGGGUUUACAAGUACAGAUACAUUUUUUUUGUAUUUCCUGUGGUUCAGGUAAUGUUUUUUUGUUGUUAUUUUGAGUUUUUGAGAAGGGUCUGUUGAGGUACUCCGGGUCUUCUCAAGAGGGGAAGGGUCAGAAAUCAAUGUUGUAGUUUUUCUGCUUACAAAUGCAAAUACAUCCUCUAUUUUUGUAUUUCUGAAGUGUUAUUAGUGGUUUUAUUGUUUUUUUUUUUGUUAUUUUAUCUUUUUUUAACUCACUUUCCAUGUAUAUAAUUAUCAAAUGUUAUUGGUUAUUUCAUCAAUGUAUUUUCUGUCAUUUCCUUCGUUUUUUUUAGGAUUGGAAAUAGUGGAGGUCAGGUCAGGGGGUUAAACAAAUUCACACUGACCUAUUUUUUUCAUGUAGAGGUCAAACUCGUACCCUGACUGACCUAACGUGACCUCUUACAAGUGGGUGAAGGCUAUGUGUAUAAGUAUUGACCUCUCUUUUAUCCUUUCCCAAUCGAGGUCAGGUCACGAAACAAACACAACCCAAUACCAACUCAAUUAAACCACAUUUUGACCUCGAUAGAAUGCAUUUGACCCUUUCUGUGACCCUGAUCCAACUAUUUAACCUUGUAAGAAUGCGUUUGACCCUUUUCUGUGACCCAUAACGCACUUUCUGACCCUGUAUUAGCUCGUUUGACCCCUUUUUCGAGACCCUUCUUGUUCCGUACGCGUCCCGGACCAGCCCAGCACGCGUCCCCGGCCCUCGGAACACCUUUUUUCAACAUCAACAACUAAGAAUAUUGAACAUUGGAACGGAAUGGAGGCAAACACAUCAUGGACAAUUAAGUUUUUCUAAUGCUAAAGAACUUCCGCUAUGUACAGCAAGGGGGCGCCUGCUAGUAAGGAGCGGAGGAGGAGGAGGAGGAGGAGCAGAUGGAGGGGAAGUGGAGAGUGUGAGGGACUGAGGAAGGACACCUGUUACCUCCCUCACCCCCCUUUUUCUCUCCUCUCUUCGUCUUUCUCUCGUCUCUUAUUCUCUCCUUCUCCUCCUUUCUCUCUCUCUUGCUAAACUUGACCUUCUUCUUCGUCUCCUUCCUUCUGCUCCUUUCUUUCUCUCCUCUGCUAAACUUUCUUCGUCUUCUCCUUCCUUCUCCUCCUUUCUUUCUCUCCUCUUUGCUAAACUUCACUUUCUUCGUCUUCUUCCUCCUCCUCCUCCUCCUCCUCCUCCUCUUCGCGGCAGGCACCAGUCACUUCUCGUCAUGGUUUUAUUGCUAUCCGUAAACAAUAGCGUCAUGAGGGAGGGCUACUCAAGGAACCAAGGAGACCAAAUGCAAUUGACUUAGCCUUAUAUAGAGAGUUGAAAACCAUACUGGAACCCCUCCCCUAUCCCGAACAUUAGGUAAAGCGCACUCGCAUCCACUCAUUGCUUUACUUUCGUCUAUAUUUCCUUUCUUCAGCCUUAUAUAGAGAGUUGAAAACCAUACUGGAACCCCUCCCCUAUCCCGAACAUUAGGUAAAGCGCACUCGCAUCCACUCAUUGCUUUACUUUCGUCUAUAUUUCCCUUCUUCAGCCUUGUAUAGAGAGUUGAAAACCAUACUGGAACCCCUCCCCUAUCCCGAACAUUAGGUAAAGCGCACUAGCAUUCACUCAUUGCUUUACUUUCGUCUAUAUUUCCCUUCUUCAGCCUUGUAUAGAGAGUUGAAAACCAUACUUCUACCCCUCCCCUAUCCCGAACAUUAGGCAAAGCGCACUAGCAUUCACCCAUUGCUUUACUUUCGUCUAUAUUCCCUUCUUCAGCCUUAUAUAGAGUUGAAAACCAUACUGGAACCUCUUCUCAAUCCCUUCUAUUAGCUCGUUCGCUCUCUAAUUCUCUUUUCAUUAAUAUCUUCAGAUUUAUAGAGUUUGAAACCAUGUCUAGAACCACUCCUCUAUCCCUGACACUAACUCUAACGCUCUCUAAUUCUCCUUAUAUCACUUUCUUCAGCCUUAUAGAGUUUGAAACCAUGUAUAGAAUCCUUCCCCGAUACCUAACACUAACUAUAACACUCUCUGAUUCUCUCUUUUCAUCGCUUUCCUUUCGUCUGCAUCUUCUUUUCCAUUCUUCAUAUCCACUUCACAACUGACUUAGCCUUAUAGAGUUUGAAACCUUAUCUAGAAUCCCUCCGUCGUAUCUAACACUAGCUCUUUCGCUCUUUCUUUCUCUCCUUUCUUUCCCCUUACACAAUUCACUCCGCCUUAUAAAGAGUUUGAACCCAUGACUGGAAUCCCUCCCCUGUCCCGAACAUUAGCUAAAUCGCACUCUUUUUUCCUUCGUCUAUAUCACAUUCUUUCUCAUUGCACAAUUCACUCCGCCUUAUAUAGAGUUUGAACCCAUGACUGGAAUCCCUCCCCUGUCCCGAACAUUAGCUAAAUCGCACUCUUUUUUUCUUCUUUUCAUCGCUUUGCCUUCGUUUAUAUCACAUUCCUUCCCAUUGCACAAUUCACUCCGCCUUAUAAAGAGUUUGAACCCAUGACUGGAAUCCCUCCCCGUCCCGAACAUUAGCUAAAUCGCACUCUCUAUUUUUCUCUCUCAUUUCUUUGCCUUCGUCUAUAUCACAUUGCACUAUUCACUCAGCCUUAUAGAGUUUGAACCCAUGACUGGAAUCCCUCCCCGGUUCCAAACAUUAGGUAAAUCGCACUCUCUAUUUUUCUCUCUCAUUUCUUUGCCUUCGUCUAUAUCACAUUGCACUAUUGACUCAGCCUUAUAGAGUUUGAACCCAUGACUGGAAUCCCUCCCCGUCCCGAACAUUAGCUAAAUCGUACUCUCUUUUUCUUCUUUUCAUUACUUUCCCUUCGUCUAUAUCACAUUCCUUCCCAUUGCACAAUUCACUCCGCCUUAUAAAGAGUUUGAACCCAUGACUGGAAUCCCUCCCUGGUUCCGAACAUUACCUAAAUCGCACUCUCUAUUUUUCUCUCUCAUUUCUUUGCCUUCGUCUAUAUCACAUUGCACUAUUCACUCCGCCUUAUAGAGUUUGAACCCAUGACUGGAAUCCCUCCCUGGUUCCGAACAUUACGUAAAUCGCACUCUCUCUUUUUUUUUCUCUCUCUCAUUUCUUUGCUCUCGUCAACAACACACUCGUUUCUAAUUCACAACGGCGACCGACAGCAAAGUUUGUGUUUUGUUAAGUGAAGUCGAACGGACAAUAAUAAUAAUAAUAAUAGUAAUAAUAAUAGUAAUCAUAGCAACAUAUAUAAUAGUCGGCUUUGUCAGAACGAUUACAAAUAGGUCGAAAUCGUUAAAAAAAUAUCAUAAAGGGAGAGGGUGGGUGUAGCAACGCGUCACUUUGGGGUAACACAGGGGAACGUAAGAGGGGGUUAACUUGCACCAAUUAUAUAUAAAGAAUCAAAUUAUAUAUAUAUUACAAGAUAUGUUCACUUAUGAUAUGUCGUAGACGGGUCAGGAAGGGAAGGGAAGGGAAGGGAAGGGAAUGGGAGAGAAGGGAAGGGGAGGGGUAGAGAGAAAGGUAGGGAUGUGUGUGUGUGUGUGUGUGUGUGUGUGUGUGUGUGUGUGUGUGUGUGUAAUUGUGUGUAUGUAGGGCUAGGAAUACGUCGUUCUUACACGCACACACACACACACACACACACACACACACACACACACACACACACACACACACACACACACACUAUCCUCACAACCUGGUCAUUUUUCCUUCCAUUCUUCCUUCCUUCCUUCCAUUCAUAAACUUAACACAUAACUGACUGACUGACUGACCUUGCAACCCACACUCAUAACUCUUUGGUCAUCACUAGAUAAGGUCAUUCGAGGUCACGGGAGGUCACAUUUCAAAGGGGUAACUUAGCCAAAAUAAAAAAUAAAAAUAAAAAGGUAGUCGAAAUCUUUGGUACAUAAAUAAAGGAAAUGUCUUUUUUUUAUGUGACUAAGAACGAAUUCAUUUUAGGUUAGAUUUUUAGUUGAGUUAGUGUUAGAUUUCUUAAUAUCGAUGUUAGCGUUAGUAGAAAAUGGGAUGUAGCUUUCCAUGUUCUUAGAGUUACGUUAGUUAAAAAAAAUUGCGAUGUUUGUCUUUUGUUAACUGCAAUGGGAAGGGAAGGGAAGGGAAGGGAAGGGAAGGGUUCGUAAGGGUAGGGAAGGGAAGGAAAGAGUUGGGAAGGGAAGGGGAGGGAAAGAAAGGGAAGGGUAGGGUAGGGUAGGGUAGGGAAGGGAGGAGAAGGAAAGAGAAGGGAAGGGCAGGAAAGGGUUCGUAAGGGUAGGGAAGGGAAGGAAAGAGAAGGGAGGGGUAGGAAAGAGAAGGGAUUGGAAGGGAAGUGUUGGGAAGAGAUUGAAAGGAAAGGGAAAGGAAGAUAAGAGAAGAUAAGGUAAGGUAAGGGAAGGGAAGGGAAGGAAAGGGAAGGGUAGGGAAGGCAAUAAUAUUAACACAUAAUCUAGUCAUUUCUUGAGGUUUUGUUUCGUAAGCAAUUCUACGAUAACCUUAGCUACAACGUGUGUGUGUGUGUGUGUGUGUGUGUGUGUGUGUGUGUGUGUGUGUGUGUGUGUGUGUGUGUGUGUGUGUUAUAAGCCUUGAAUAUAACGCUGUGGUCUUUACGAAGCUAUUGAUAUAACGUAAGUGGUUUUUACGCCUAGAUUAUACGCAUAUCUUUGGAAUGUUUUAGAUAUUUGGUUCCUGACUGACUGACUGACUGACUGACUGACUGAUUUGGUGAUAGAAAGAUAAAUGACUAUGGAUUAUGUUAUUUUUGGAUAGUUUGUGAUUUUGACUGACUGACUGACUGACUGACUGACUGACUGACUGAUUUGGUGAUAGUAAUAUAUAUGGUAAUGGAUUGCGUUAGUUUUUGACAGUUAGUGAUUUUGACUGACUGACUGACUGACUGAUUUGGUCUUAGAAAUAUAUAUAGUUUUCUUUGCAUUUUCGAUAUUAUUAGUAAGUUGUGACUGACUGACUGACUGACUGACUAAUAUAGGUCAUAAAAAUAUAUAUAAUUCAUUCAUUUCGUUAUAUAAGUCAAAAUUACGUUAGUUUUUACGAUAAUGUUAGUUACGUUAGAUUUUGUUAUAUAUAUUACGUUGAAAUCUUUGGAUACACUUAAACUGACUGAGUGACUGACUGACUGACUGAAUGCAUUACGUUAUAAGUCAAAUUUUACGUUAGUUUUUACGAUAAUAUUAGUAAAUUACAUUAAGUUUUCGUUAUAUCAAAUCUUUGGGUUGACUGACUGACUGACUGACUGACUGGCUGACUAACUGAAUGCGUUUCGUUAUAAAAGUCAAAUUUUACGUUAGUUUUUACGAUAUUAGUAAGUUACAUUAAGUUUUCGUUAUAACAGAUCUUUGGGUCGACUGACUGACUGACUGACUGAAUGCAUUUUGUUAUAAGAGUCAAAUUUUACGUUAUUUUUUACGAUAUUAGAAAGUUACGUUAAGUUUUCGUUAUAUCGAAUCUUUGGGUUGACUGACUGACUGACUGACUGACUGGAUUUCGUUAUAAGUAAAAAUUUCGUUAGUUUCACGUUAGUAUUAGUAAGUUACGUUAGGAUUUCGCUAUAUCAAAUCUUUGGGUUGACUGACUGACUGACUGACUGACUGACUGACGAAGUUUAGACCGGUUUCUUCCUCCGUUCCUUCCCUUUACGUUCUGUUCCUUGCUUCGUUACGUUCUCCGGUUAAUCUGUUAGUCAAGUUACGUUUAAAUACAAUGAUUAGUAUGUUCGUUAGUUGGUUAAUCCAUUCAUUCCUGCAUUCACUCGCUCUUUGGGACUUAGAGAUCGUCGGGUGUGUGGGGGAGGAGGAGGAGGAGGAGGAGGAGGAGGAGGAAGGUGAAGAAGAGAAUGGAAGAGAAAGGAAGGUAAGGUAAGGUAAGGUAUGGUAAGGUAAGGUAAGGUAAGGUAAGGUUAGGUUAGGUAAGGUAAGGUAAGGUAAGGUAAGGUAAGGUAAGGUUAGGUUAAGUAAGGCAAGGGAGGAUACGGAAGGUUAGAUUAGGUAAGGUAAGGGGUUGGAAGGGAGGGACUUGUAAGGUAAGGUAAGGUAAGGUAAGGUAAGGUAAGGUAAGGUAAGGUAAGGGGUUCAAAGGGAAACUGUUAGGUAAGGUAAGGUAAGGUAAGGUAAGGGGUUCAAAGGGAAACUGUUAGGUAAGGUAAGGUAAGGUAAGGUAAGGGGUUCAAAGGGAGAGCCUUGUAGUAAGGAUAUUGUAAGAUAAGGUAAGGGGUUGGAAAGGAGGGCUUGUAAGGUAGGGAAAUUGUAAGGUAAGGUAAGUUAGGUAAGUUACAUAAGAUCAUAACAAUGUAUAUCUAUGCUCGAGUCUUUCCUACGGCACACUAGACAACUUUGCAGUAUAUAUAUUUAUAGUAACCGAUAUCCAAACACACGCAGAAACACUUUAUAAGCCACAGGUCACGACGCCGCGCAGGGCCGUGUGAGGUCAGGUCAAGAGGUCAGGCUUGGUCAGGUCAACUAGGGGUCAAGGGCGACGUAAUCUGAUAUAUACGUGCGACUGAAAACAAUGGUAAUGAUAAUGGAAAUAAUAAAUGAGGGCUUUCAAUGUGAGGUUACGGGUGAAAGCACAGACCGACCUCUCUCUUUCGAAUGUGGGACAGAGAAUGAUAGAGAGGGAAAGGAGGAGGAGGAGGAGGAGGAAAACAAAAGAAAA
Molecule: long non-coding RNA, 10346 nt
Organism: Eriocheir sinensis (Chinese mitten crab)
Lineage: Eukaryota; Metazoa; Arthropoda; Malacostraca; Decapoda; Varunidae
Exons: 4
Source: RefSeq, a predicted model, not a curated record